UACGUAGGGUGCGAGCGUUAAUCGGAAUUACUGGGCGUAAAGCGUACGUAGGCGGCUUUGUAAGUUAGAGGUGAAAGCCCGGGGCUCAACCCCGGAAUUGCCUUUAAGACUGCAUCGCUUGAACGUCGGAGAGGUGAGUGGAAUUCCGAGUGUAGAGGUGAAAUUCGUAGAUAUUCGGAAGAACACCAGUGGCGAAGGCGGCUCACUGGACGACUGUUGACGCUGAGGUACGAAAGCGUGGGGAGCAAACAGG
RNAcentral lists this ribosomal RNA (253 nucleotides) under uncultured bacterium. RNAcentral's name for it is "partial 16S ribosomal RNA". It matches the Rfam family "Bacterial small subunit ribosomal RNA", at positions 524 to 776 of the family's 1533-position model. The record is from RNAcentral.